CCUACGGGAGGCAGCAGUGAGGAAUAUUUGUCAAUGGACGAGAGUCUGAACCAGCCAAGUAGCGUGAAGGAUGACUGCCCUAUGGGUUGUAAACUUCUUUUAUAUGGGAAUAAAACGUUCCACGUGUGGGAUUUUGUAUGUACCAUAUGAAUAAGGAUCGGCUAACUCCGUGCCAGCAGCCGCGGUAAUACGGAGGAUCCGAGCGUUAUCCGGAUUUAUUGGGUUUAAAGGGAGCGUAGGUGGAUUGUUAAGUCAGUUGUGAAAGUUUGCGGCUCAACCGGAAAAUUGCAGUUGAAACUGGCAGUCUUGAGUACAGUAGAGGUGGGCGGAAUUCGUGGUGUAGCGGUGAAAUGCUUAGAUAUCACGAAGAACUCCGAUUGCGAAGGCAGUUCACUGGACUGCAACUGACACUGAGGCUCGAAAGUGUGGGUAUCAAACAGGAUUAGAUACCCGUGUAGUC
Molecule: ribosomal RNA, 460 nt
Filed under: uncultured bacterium
Lineage: Bacteria
Description: partial 16S ribosomal RNA
Rfam family: Bacterial small subunit ribosomal RNA
Source: RNAcentral